RNAcentral lists this ribosomal RNA (798 nucleotides) under Triticum aestivum (bread wheat). RNAcentral describes it as "partial small subunit ribosomal RNA". The record is from RNAcentral. Lineage: Eukaryota; Viridiplantae; Streptophyta; Magnoliopsida; Poales; Poaceae.
AUGCUUAUUUUCAGAGAUGCACUUGAAACUUGUGGUCUGAUUGAUUUGGGUUUUGCAGGGUACCCCUUCACAUACGAUAACAGGAGGGGUGGACGGGCCAACGUGCAGGUGCGUUUGGACCGUGCAGCGGUCACUAAUGCAUGGCGUGACUUGUUCACGGAAGCGGCGGUGCUCCAUUUGGUGUCGCCCUACUCCGACGACUGCCCGAUCCUCAUCCUGUGCGUCCAUGACAUGGCGCCCAAACCGCAGCGCUGUCGACGGUAUGAAAUUAUGUGGGAGCGAGAACCCGCACUCGAGGAGGUGGUUGCGGAGGCAUGGAGGGCCGAGGGCAGCAAGAGAAAUCUCAGAGAUGUUCACUUAGCACUUGGUAAACUGAUGGGCAAGUUGCAUACCUGGAGCAGCAAGAAAUUUGGCAAUGUCACAAGAGAACUAGAAAAAUCCAGAUCGCGCCUUGAGGAGUUGAUGAAUAUGAAUGCAGACCGUGCAGAGAUACUAAAAGAGAUGGAUGCUAUGAAUGAGCUGCUAUACCGCGAGGAAAUGCUAUGGCUCCAACGUUCAAGGGUAGCUUGGCUGAAAGAGGGGGAUAGAAACACAAAGUUCUUUCACAGGAAGGCAGUUUGGAGAGCUAGAAAGAAUAGAAUUAAAGGGUUCACGGAUGCACAAGAGGUAUGGCAACAGGAGCAACAGACUAUGGAGAGGAUGGUCAAGGAUUACUUCCAACAUAUGUUCACGGCCGACCCUGCCAUUGACCCAGAGGAGAUUAUCCAACUCUUUCAACCAAAAGUGAGGAUGACAUGA